AGUGAACGCUGGCGGUAGGCCUAACACAUGCCAGUCGAACGGCAGCACAGUAAGAGCUUGCUCUUACGGGUGGCGAGUGGCGGACGGGUGAGGAAUACAUCGGAAUCUACUUUUUCGUGGGGGAUAACGUAGGGAAACUUACGCUAAUACCGCAUACGACCUACGGGUGAAAGCAGGGGAUCUUCGGGCCUUGCGCGAUUGAAUGAGCCGAUGUCGGAUUAGCUAGUUGGCGGGGUAAAGGCCCACCAAGGCGACGAUCCGUAGCUGGUCUGAGAGGAUGAUCAGCCACACUGGAACUGAGACACGGUCCAGACUCCGACGGGAGGCAGCAGUGGGGAAUAUUGGACAAUGGGCGCAAGCCUGAUCCAGCCAUACCGCGUGGGUGAAGAAGGCCUUCGGGUUGUAAAGCCCUUUUGUCGGGAAAGAAAAGCAGCAGGUUAAUACCCCGCUGUUCUGACGGUACCCAAAGAAUAAGCACCGGCUAACUUCGUG
RNAcentral lists this ribosomal RNA (492 nucleotides) under uncultured bacterium. RNAcentral's name for it is "partial 16S ribosomal RNA". It matches the Rfam family "Bacterial small subunit ribosomal RNA", at positions 29 to 507 of the family's 1533-position model. The record is from RNAcentral.